RNAcentral lists this ribosomal RNA (253 nucleotides) under uncultured bacterium. Its description in RNAcentral is "partial 16S ribosomal RNA". It matches the Rfam family "Bacterial small subunit ribosomal RNA", at positions 524 to 776 of the family's 1533-position model. The record is from RNAcentral.
UACGAAGGGGGCUAGCGUUGCUCGGAAUUACUGGGCGUAAAGGGCGCGUAGGCGGAUAGUUUAGUCAGAGGUGAAAGCCCAGGGCUCAACCUUGGAAUUGCCUUUGAUACUGGCUGUCUUGAGUUCGGGAGAGGUGAGUGGAAUGCCGAGUGUAGAGGUGAAAUUCGUAGAUAUUCGCAAGAACACCAGUGGCGAAGGCGGCUCACUGGCCCGGUACUGACGCUGAGGCACGAAAGCGUGGGGAGCAAACAGG